Molecule: ribosomal RNA, 465 nt
Filed under: Vreelandella stevensii
Lineage: Bacteria; Pseudomonadati; Pseudomonadota; Gammaproteobacteria; Oceanospirillales; Halomonadaceae
Description: partial 16S ribosomal RNA
Rfam family: Bacterial small subunit ribosomal RNA
Source: RNAcentral
CCUACGGGAGGCUGCAGUGGGGAAUAUUGGACAAUGGGGGCAACCCUGAUCCAGCCAUGCCGCGUGUGUGAAGAAGGCCCUCGGGUUGUAAAGCACUUUCAGUGAGGAAGAACGCCUGGUGGUUAAUACCCAUCAGGAAAGACAUCACUCACAGAAGAAGCGCCGGCUAACUCCGUGCCAGCAGCCGCGGUAAUACGGAGGGUGCGAGCGUUAAUCGGAAUUACUGGGCGUAAAGCGCGCGUAGGUGGCUUGAUAAGCCGGUUGUGAAAGCCCCGGGCUCAACCUGGGAACGGCAUCCGGAACUGUCAAGCUAGAGUGCAGGAGAGGAAGGUAGAAUUCCCGGUGUAGCGGUGAAAUGCGUAGAGAUCGGGAGGAAUACCAGUGGCGAAGGCGGCCUUCUGGACUGACACUGACGCUGAGGUGCGAAAGCGUGGGUAGCAAACAGGAUUAGAUACCCCUGUAGUC